RNAcentral lists this non-coding RNA (28 nucleotides) under Rattus norvegicus (Norway rat). The record is from RNAcentral. Lineage: Eukaryota; Metazoa; Chordata; Mammalia; Rodentia; Muridae.
UCUUCAGAGAGUCCUAGGACCCAGGGAA